CCAUGUCCGGCCGGGAACCCGCAAUUUGGAGGAGCACGCGGUGAUGCGGCGGGCCGAUGCGGGGAGAGUUCGCCCUCCACCAUCUAUGGACCCUAGCCAGACCUUCUCCAUCUUUACACCCUUACUUCUCCACCAUUAAUUAGAGAGGGCGUAAGAGAUGAAGAGGAGACAUGAGAAACAAGAGACGAGGGAGGACCAUCACCAGUCAAUAUAUGUCGCGUGAUGCAUGUAUAGCGGUCGACUAUGCUCCUCUGUCCACCUCCCCUGCUGCAGAGGAGAUUAAUCCAUCAAGGAGCAGCAGCUACGAUGGCUCCCUCUAGCAGCACCUUGACCUGCCCUACUGCGUGAGAUGUUGGCAGCGGUAGGUGAUUUUGCAUGGUGGGUGAUUUUCUUGCGGCGGGCGAUUUAUGGCCGGGAUGCUCCUCCUUCCAGCCGUUCUGGGUCUGCAAGAAGAGGAGAAGCAAGGGAAGGUGAUAUCCACUAAUAUACUGACUUGUGUUAUGCGUGAACUUCGAUUUUUUUGUUAGUACUGUUAUUAAAUUAAGCUAAAUAUUUGUUCGGCUCUGUUACAUAUGUUUCGUGAUAUUGCAAAACAAAGUAGUUGAUUCUCAACUACUCAGAAUUAAGUGUAUGAUACCAUCUCAACUUGCAAGAUCAAAAUCAGAUUCCAAUGCCCCUACAGUACUAAUCUGGUAAAAAAGCUCAUCUUCCAAAUUUACCUACAACUGUUUGGUGCAAGGUUAUGAUUUCCAUAUUCUUAUCUAGCAAGUGUUCUACAUAAUUGGAUAUGAUUCAUACGGAAUCCAUAACUUGUGAUGAGCUUGACUUGGAGUUCAGACAAAGGUUGUUACAGAACAUUGGUGUAUUGAUAUCUAACAAAUUGAGUCAUACUGGGUCGACCUACUUAAACUGCCCUUUCACAUUUCUAAUUGUGAGACUUUCUCAUGUAUGAUCCAUUGCCAUGCAGUGUUUCUCCUCGGUGAGAUGGUGCAUUAAGAAGGAUAUCUAAUCAUGUGAACUGGACAUGGCUAAAUGUACCAAUUAGCUACAAAUGUGUAUGCAAGUUGUAGGUACGUUAUUUUUUUUAACUUCAUUAGUUUGUCGAGCUUAAGCAUCUUGAUGGCGCAAUAGGCAGACGCCAGUUACAUUAACAUAUUGUACUAGCUCUUUCUUUACAUCUGCUCCAGCAGAUAUCCUUGAAACUUCACACGGUAGUAUCUAUAUUGAUUAAAGUUCUGCUACAUAACCUCAAUUAGUCCACUUAAUUUACCUCCUCUGUCCUCCAUCUACUGCCCCUGAAGUAAUAGCCAUCUUAAUUGUUUCUGUUUGCUGAGAAACAUGUGCUCUUUUGGGUUACAAUGUUGGCUUUGUUUAUUUACAAUCUCAGGUAUUUUGUUUCAGGUCUGUAGCACAGGGUGUCGCUACGUCUUUGUUGGUUUUUGCAGGUUUGGUGUUUGAUAAAUAGAUUUGUUUUCAUCCAAAGCUAGGUCUGUAUGGAUUCAAAGGUUCAUGCGCCAUCGUCUCCUACACUGAUUUUCAUUGCAGACGGAAGGCAAUCAGUUAAAUGUGUCGCAAUGCUCAAUACUAUCAGGUGAAGUAGUGUGUCUGUGUGAUUAAUUGGUGGACUCAUGGGGUUGGUUUAUAUUAUUAGGUGGGCUAGAUCUCACUUUCUUCUCGUGUCUGCAUGCAAUUAUUUCAAUCUUUCUUAUUCAGACAUUUCUUUGUUUUCAAACUCAAUCUGCAAUAACUUUAGACUCGUGUAUAUGUUCUUUAGAUGAUUCUUUGCAUAGCUCUCUCUCUCUCUCUCUCUCUCUCUCUCUCUCUCUCUCUGUCUAUGAACUACAAAACUUGAUGGAACGAUGAUGCCAUUUUUGUGGUUGCCUGAUUAAUCCAUAUCAUUUAUGCAGCAACAUGAUUCGUGAAGAGAUGGUUUUUGUUGGGCUUAUCAGCCAUAGUGAACAGAUGGCUUUAAUCCUCGCUGGUUGUACUGCAGUACUAUCGCUUAGGUGCAAUGUAUAUCAUAUGCUUAUUAUACUUGCAAAACUGAUGAUUUAGUUUGGGUGUGCCAAAUUGCCAAUAUAUCACAGGUUCAGCUUCAGUUUCAUGGUUGACCUUAUAUUGGUCACCGAACGUGAAUAUGCUUCACUUGACAAAUCUUGCCACAGCUAGAUCGGAGGCUACAAGUUCUAGGUGAAUAACUUAUGUCUUUAUUUUAGUUCCUAUUUUUUGGACUACUUAGACACCAGCAUCUUUAUUGUUAUGGCAUGGCAUGGUGGCUGUGUAUGGAGAUUAUCUACCCCUUGCAUUAAUUUUUGGACGGUUGGGCUAACAAACCCACAAUCAGAUGGCUGCUUUGUGUUUGGUCCCUUAUGUUCUUUCUAUUAAAGCAUUAGCGGCCUCGCCAGUACUACCAGCGGGAUCGUCAUCUAGGUUCUUGCCUACUGUCUCUAGAUCGUAUGUUGCGCCACAAUGGACUGUCGAGAGAUCAGCGACAUCGAGAUGCAGCCUACAUGUACUUUCUCCUGUUCUUUCCCAAUCUUUCAACUACUGAUGCUCUUUACCUAUUUUGGAAGGCGAACAAAUUCAGUUCCAACAAAUUAUGGCGCUAUUUCCUAAUCUGAAAUGGUGCUUAUCAGAACUAUGUCUAAAAAAAAAUACUACUUAGCUUUGCCACUAAUUCUACUCUACAUCUGUACAUAUUCCCUAUACGGCUUGCAACUACUAUGCUGAACAUAGAAAUGUGGCGCAAAUAUUUUUGAUAAGCUAUCUAAUGAGAUUUCCUUUCUUACAAAGGCACAUUAGUUUGAGGAGAUUGGUCCCUAACAGCUGAGGCAGCCAUUCAGUCGGCCUGAAGGACAUCAACAAUAAUGGGAGAAUUUGUGUCGACAUCUUGAAGGACGAAAGGAGCUCUACUCUCAACUAUUUCCAAGCCACUGAAGGUUUGCUCUUUUUUGAGUGGAUAAACUCCCCAAUUUCAUAUGUUAAGACAUAGAAAUUUAAAGAGUACAUCGUUUCAUAUGGGAGCUUUUGUGUCGACAUCUUGACGGAAGAAAGGAGCUCUACUCUUAACUAUUUCCAAGCCAUUCAAGGUUUGUUCUUUUUUGAAUGGAUAAACUCCCAGUUUCAUAUGUCAAGAUAUAGAAAUUUAAAAAGUACAGCGUUUCAUAUAAAUUACGUAGAACAUACUUUAUAUAUGUGUACUGAAUAUGUUUCUUUAGUAUGGAAAUUAAGUGCCCUCUUUUACUGGAUUAAACCUAAACUUAAUUUUUUGUACUUAUCUCGGUCUUAAAAUAUCAUUGGUAUCUGUAGGUCAAGAAAAAAAUGUCUGUUUAUAGAUAUUUAUACUAAAUAUGCUUUUUCUCAAAAAGAAAAAAAAAACUGAUCGGGCCAAUGAGGCGAAAUCUCAAGUAUCAACUUGCUUCUCAUUCCGUUUUGCUGGGUAGAUUGUGCCCCGCUUUCAAAAAUGGUUUUAUUUAUUUACUGAGAGUUCGUUUGUACAUAUACAUUUGUUAUCUUUGGUCCUUUGCAAAUGCCAAUAAGAAAGGGCAACAUAUCGAUGUAAUCUGGAAUAAGAACUUUACUCAUAGUACCUCCAUGUUUUCAUUCUGCUCUAUAACUAGCAUUUUUUGUUUACCUUUUCUGCACUAUAGGUAGAAUAGGGAAGGCCUCCAGUUCAGUUACUUGCAGAGCUGGCUGAUAAUUGAUGAGUUUUGAAGGCCCAGUUCAGUUACUGAGAGAUGAGGAGUUUUACAGGUGGUUUUCAUCAUAACAUGGUAAGAACGGACCAAUUUCUUGGAAGUGGUGAAGUAAGAAUAUGUGCAUAACUAUUAAUUUUUGGAACUGUUUUUAGAUUGUCAUCGCAUGAUAUUUCAUCAAUUUUAUUUGGCCAUAUUGUGCUUGCUGACUGUUCGCACCUUUCAUAUGCUGAUGAUUUUACUGUUGAGUUAAUUUUUGGUUCGCACCCUGUAUUUUGCUGCUUCUGUUAGACAUUUUGUAUAUAUCACUGAUAUAUCUACAUUGUAUUGCAAAUAGUUGUAUUGUCAAAUAUGGGUAAAAAUUACUGAUCUUCAAAUAUAAGUUCCAGUAGAUGAAAGUUAAUGUCAUCAAGUUAUUGAACAAGCAACCGACUUCUUCAACUCUUCAUGGUACUAGCAGGGUUUGAGCUGAUCUAAGUUUCUAAAAUAGACUAUUUUAUGUUUGGCAUGGAAUUUGGUAGGUUGCCAGUUAACCCACUUUGUUGGGUCUUGCUUUCGCAAUGGAUUAGAUGUUUUCUCAUUUAUUAUCUAAGUUGUCUUUUAAAGUAAAUUAACACAUAUUUUAGUAUUAGUACCUUUAUAAAUAUGUAGGUUUGUCCAGGCUUUUUGCAAUCAAGGCCUUGUAUAAAAAUGGUGUGUCAUGCGAUAGCAUCGGUGCAUUUGGGUUGUUUGGCCGAGGCAGUUCGGAACUGUUAGGGGCUACCCACCUGAUGCAGAUAUAAUGAUGAAUGCUCUCACAAAACUAUUUGAAUCAUAUAGUGUCUAUAAUGCCGCAUCAAAGGUACUUCUUGAAAUAAAACAUCAUUACUUAUACCUUGGGCUGCCUUGAGAAUUUGUUGAUUCUUCUUGCUUGAAAUUUUAGGAGUCACACACCUGAAGCAUUGUUUCCUUGCCCAUCUCUAUGCUAGACUUUAAUAUGACAACAAGCAGUGAAGCAAGUUAGUUCAAUUGAAUUAAAUUCGAGAGGAUAUCUCAAACAACAUUACUACUAAUAACAUUUCCCUUCUAUUUUUCUUCCUAAUAUGCUACACUAAUUGUCGUGUCAAAUGCAACUAUGGCUUCUACGUUUUUCUGCUGGUGCCUAUGAACUUGCACACAUGCGCGAGAAAAGCAAUUACUCUCGGUCAAAGCUCAAGAAGAUUAGUUUUGAGGUUGUUGUUGUGUGGCGACAAGGGCUUUGUGAUUAUGCCAAUUUGCUCUGUAAUAUAAUAUGGCUAAUAAUCUUGCAUUUUCACGGGCUGCCUUAAACAUAAGGUUAGUGUGGUAGUUUUCCAGUGCAAUAAUAUAUGUACAUAUAUCAUCGUGGUAAUGAAUAAUUUGCCUGUAGUUGUUUCACGGUUGAACUCCCCUAUAACCAUGCAAUGCAUAUGAUUCUUGAAUAUUCAGGGCAUGUCCAUAAUAUCUGCUUUAUUUUCUUUCCAUGUUCCUAUUCCGGAGAUGUCUCCUCUAAACACAAGUUAUGUCAAGUUAGUUAUAGUUUUGUGCUAUCACAGUCUUAGAUUAUGUGUGCAAGCAAAUUUUGUUUAUUACAGUUACCACAAACCAUAAGAAGCUGGACCUUUCUGAUUUUGGACUUGCAAGAGAGGAAACAGUGACAAGCUUGAUGACCGAUGAAGCUAGGAUAUGCUGAUGGAAUCACUCUUUUCUGGAAUGGCUACUUAACAUUACAAAAUUAUGAACUGAAGUGAGCAAAGAGUAUACAAGUAACAUGCUGGCUAUCAUAUUAGAUGGUUCUUUCUGUAUUGCGCAGCUUCAUUGUGAUUUAAAGUUGACAUUCUCGUAUCUAGAUUCAUUUUCAGCUAGCGCACCGUGGACAAGAUAUUUAUUUUGGCUUGUUCGAAUAUGUAGAUAUGGUUAGCUAAUUGCAUGCGUGCAUCAGCAUGCUUAUGGACAACUUUUUUUUGUUGGUAUGGACAGCUUGCUAUUCCUUUUUCAUGCCUAAAUCAAUGGACUUUAUACAAGUUUGAUGACUUCAUUUGGGCCAGCUCUGCAUACUCUGAUAUUAAUGUAUUAAUAAUACUUACACUUGAGGUGCAUAUGCAGUACAUUGUCCAAAAUAUGUAUAGGGACAGUAGAUUUAAAAAUUAAAUCUACUAUGUUAUUAGGGGAAUAUUUAGUGAGUGUAGGUGAUUUGUUCUCUUUUGAACUAAUAUUUUCGUUAUUUCUACUAGGUGGGCAUCUUUGAGCUGAAAGGAACUUGCUGGUCGAAGACUUGCCAUCGGCUCAAUUCAUAAACAAAAUUACAUCAACAAUUGUAUUAUGUUCUAUGUGUUUGCUCAAGUCUUUUUUCGUUCAUUAUCCUUAUAAGCCUUGUAAUCUUUUUCUCAGAUAAGAAUAGUCAUAUAGUUGUCUGA
This is a long non-coding RNA of Lolium rigidum, 6109 nucleotides long. RefSeq lists it as uncharacterized. The record is from RefSeq and is a predicted model, not a curated record. Lineage: Eukaryota; Viridiplantae; Streptophyta; Magnoliopsida; Poales; Poaceae. The transcript has 3 exons.